GCCAGGGUGGUAUAUUGGUUUGAAUAUUGGACCAUGACUCUGGAGACCAGGGUUCAAAUCCCUGCUCAGCCA
Non-coding RNA from Phrynosoma platyrhinos (Desert horned lizard), 72 nucleotides. The record is from the annotation of a GenBank genome assembly. Lineage: Eukaryota; Metazoa; Chordata; Lepidosauria; Squamata; Phrynosomatidae.